UGCGAAGCUCUUGGCUGACAGUGGUGCCUGCUAAUUUCCACUGCAAGGAUUUCGUCAACGAAUGUUAUCAUAGGUUACGCGCGACUCCAGAGGCAAUUUGGAAUAUCGGCACGAAAUCGUCGGAUGAAAAUCUGAGGUGCCCGACGCACAACAUUUUGAACGUGCCACGGAGGAUCAAGGCAAAAAACGAGAGCAAAAAAGGUGCACGCUGAAGGCGGAAAUGAAGCAUGAUCUGGCUUGCAUCUGGUGCAUGAAGAAAUUGCUGGCACGUUAGUUGCAGUCUACCUCCACCAACAGGGUGGAAAACAAAGGUCGCCAUUCCGAUUAGCUGCUAUCUCCC
Molecule: long non-coding RNA, 340 nt
Organism: Ornithodoros turicata
Lineage: Eukaryota; Metazoa; Arthropoda; Arachnida; Ixodida; Argasidae
Exons: 3
Source: RefSeq, a predicted model, not a curated record